Molecule: ribosomal RNA, 468 nt
Filed under: uncultured bacterium
Lineage: Bacteria
Description: partial 16S ribosomal RNA
Rfam family: Bacterial small subunit ribosomal RNA
Source: RNAcentral
GACGAACGCUGGCGGCGUGCUUAACACAUGCAAGUCGAACGGAAAGGCCCUGCUUUUGUGGGGUGCUCGAGUGGCGAACGGGUGAGUAACACGUGAGUAACCUGCCCUUGACUUUGGGAUAACUUCAGGAAACUGGGGCUAAUACCGGCUAGGAGCUCCUGCUGCAUGGGGGGGGUUGGAAAGUUUCGGCGGUUGGGGAUGGACUCGCGGCUUAUCAGCUUGUUGGUGGGGUAGUGGCUUACCAAGGCUUUGACGGGUAGCCGGCCUGAGAGGGUGACCGGCGACAUUGGGACUGAGAUACGGCCCAGACUCCUACGGGAGGCAGCAGUGGGGAAUAUUGCACAAUGGGCGGAAGCCUGAUGCAGCAACGCCGCGUGCGGGAUGACGGCCUUCGGGUUGUAAACCGCUUUCGCCUGUGACGAAGCGUGAGUGACGGUAAUGGGUAAAGAAGCACCGGCUAACUACGUG